AUGAGUCCACUAUACCUUACUAUAUGCGGUAUUUACCUGCCGUUCCAAGUAAAUUUGUAUGUGCCAAACUCUAAACCUUCAAAUGAAAUUCUGUUUUGUAUGCUCGAGCAGCUCAUGUUACAACUAGGGCUGCCUAUAUCUUCCAUGCUAGGUGGGUUAUUCUCAAGAGGAGUGGACUCCGCUCCUCAUUCACGAGAAAGGGCCGGUAACCGGGAUGCCCAGUCCCAUGAUCCAAAAAUAUCAAAGCAAAUCAAAAUAAUUAAACAAAACUCCCCCAGGGAUGUUGUAUGUUGGAGGCACUCGUUGUUUCGAGCAAGCCAUGGAUUGAUGCUUGUUGGUGGUUGGGGGAGUAUAAACCUUUACCAUUCUGUUUGGGGACUGCCUAUAAUGCAUGUAGUAUGA
Molecule: ribosomal RNA, 402 nt
Filed under: Triticum aestivum (bread wheat)
Lineage: Eukaryota; Viridiplantae; Streptophyta; Magnoliopsida; Poales; Poaceae
Description: partial small subunit ribosomal RNA
Source: RNAcentral